AUGAGUGGUGUUUGGUUUGUUACAGGUGUUUGGCUCUUUGCUUKMGCWANNNCUNNCCNCMKGCUUACCUCUUUAUUUGUGUGUUAAGGCUUAUGUCUUAGUGCAUUGUGGGUUUCCUGUGUUGCCUACCUAAGUGACGGUAUUCUUUUGAUUGAACGAAGUCCCUUUUCGUCUUGUGUUACGUCCGUGGCAUGUGACGAACGUUGUGAAGCAGUUUCUAUGGUCCACAUUAACGAUGCCUUUGCAUUGAAGUAGUGGCUCAUUGAUCAUUGCUUGGUCUUGAGGAUACGGAAUCUGAUGUGGGCAUGGGGUCUUGUUUGGAUCCUUUUCUGCCCUUGUUUAGCGUUCAAGCAUCUCCAAAAUGACCGCCCAUCGUGUAGUGGCUCGUACCAGCAUGGUGGGUUAUGUCAAAAAGGAAUGCUACCUGGUUGAUCCUGCCAGUAGUCAUAUGCUUGUCUCA
RNAcentral lists this unclassified non-coding RNA (460 nucleotides) under Anisopappus brandbergensis. RNAcentral's name for it is "partial contains external transcribed spacer and 18S ribosomal RNA". The record is from RNAcentral. Lineage: Eukaryota; Viridiplantae; Streptophyta; Magnoliopsida; Asterales; Asteraceae.